CGAGUAGCAAUACUAGUGGCAGACGGGUGAGUAACAUGUNGGUAUCUGCCCUUUGGCCUGGAAUAACACGAGGAAACUUGUGCUAAUACCGGAUAAGUCUUUACGGAGAAAGCUUUAUGCACCAUUGGAUGAGCCCGCACUUGAUUAGUUUGUUGGUAGGGUAAUGGCCUACCAAGACUGUGAUCAAUAGCUGAUUUGAGAGGAUGAUCAGCCACAUUGGGACUGAGACACGGCCCAAACUCCUACGGGAGGCAGCAGUGGGGAAUCUUGCACAAUGGAGGAAACUCUGAUGCAGCGAUGCCGCGUGAGUGAAGAAGGCCCUUGGGUUGUAAAGCUCUUUCGUCGGGGAAGAAAAUGACUGUACCCGAAUAAGAAGNUCCGU
Molecule: ribosomal RNA, 382 nt
Filed under: uncultured Alphaproteobacteria bacterium
Lineage: Bacteria; Pseudomonadati; Pseudomonadota; Alphaproteobacteria
Description: bacterial SSU rRNA
Rfam family: Bacterial small subunit ribosomal RNA
Source: RNAcentral